Molecule: ribosomal RNA, 253 nt
Filed under: uncultured bacterium
Lineage: Bacteria
Description: partial 16S ribosomal RNA
Rfam family: Bacterial small subunit ribosomal RNA
Source: RNAcentral
CACGGGGGGAGCAAGCGUUGUUCGGAAUCACUGGGCGUAAAGGGCGUGUAGGCGGUCAGGUAAGUGGGAUGUGAAAUGCCCCGGCUCACCCGGGGACCGGCAUCCCAUACUGCUUGGCUUGAGUGCGGGAGAGGAUGUGGGAAUUCCUGGUGUAGCGGUGAAAUGCGUAGAUAUCAGGAGGAACACCGGUGGCGAAGGCGCACAUCUGGCCCGAUACUGACGCUGAGGCGCGAAAGCUAGGGGAGCAAACGGG